GGCAAGGAAGGAACAAAGAGUGCAUCAUUAAAGGAUUUAUGUCUGGAAGACAAAAGACGCAUCGCAAACUUGAUUAAAGAACUGGCCAGAGUAAGUGAAGAAAAGGAAGUGACAGAAGAACGACUGAAAGCUGAUCAGGAGUCAUUCGAAAAGAUCAGGCAGUUGGAAGAACAGAAUGAACUGAUCAUCAAAGAAAGGGAAGCUCUUCAGCUACAGUAUAGAGAAUGCCAAGAACUUCUAAGUCUCUAUCAGAAAUACCUAUCAGAACAGAAAGAAAAGCUCAACAUGUCUCUCUAAGAACUUGGUGCUGCUAGAAUGCAGGAGCAACAGGAAAGCAACAAGAAAA
Long non-coding RNA from Perognathus longimembris pacificus (Pacific pocket mouse), 346 nucleotides. RefSeq lists it as uncharacterized. NCBI's taxonomy places the organism in Eukaryota, Metazoa, Chordata, Mammalia, Rodentia, Heteromyidae. The record is from RefSeq and is a predicted model, not a curated record. The transcript has 3 exons.